This is a long non-coding RNA of Camellia sinensis, 506 nucleotides long. RefSeq lists it as uncharacterized. NCBI's taxonomy places the organism in Eukaryota, Viridiplantae, Streptophyta, Magnoliopsida, Ericales, Theaceae. The record is from RefSeq and is a predicted model, not a curated record.
UUUGGCAGAGGCUUCCCUCUCUUGUGCCUCUCUCUCUCUCUCUCUCUCUCUCUUUCUUCCAUUGUUGCUCAAGCUUUGAGUUUAGAGUGGGAGUCUUUAGAGUGAGAUUUUGUAAAAGUGUUGUAAAUGAAAGUCGGAGAGCUCGUUGUGAUCUUCGCAAUGGUGGUCUUGGAUUCAUAAUCGGGUGAUGUUUACAUUUUCGGAUUAGUUUUUCUUCAUAUUUGAGGAAAAGAUGUGGUGUUCCCACCCAACUAGGUGCGUGGAAGUAUAUGUGUUGGGAGUACAACACUCUCAUUUUGUUGUGACUCUGUGUGUAAGCCAAGGGCUGUGUUUGUGUGAGUUUGAAUAACUAUUUUGUGUAACCAGGCUCUAACCUUGGAAACUUGUAAACCCUUGGGGGUAUUUAUUUGUUUAUUUACUUGUUGCUGGAUUAAUGUAUUAUUGCAUGAACAACUAUUGUAUCAUAUAAUGUAAGUUUGGAGAUUUAUAUUCAGUUUUUCUUAAAA